Aethina tumida (small hive beetle) is the source of this 717-nucleotide long non-coding RNA. RefSeq lists it as uncharacterized. NCBI's taxonomy places the organism in Eukaryota, Metazoa, Arthropoda, Insecta, Coleoptera, Nitidulidae. The record is from RefSeq and is a predicted model, not a curated record. The transcript has 4 exons.
ACAAAAUCAUUUAUAAAAGCAAAAUUCAAGUUCGAUGAAGUUACAUUCAAAGAAAGCGAGACCCAUCUGUCCGCAACAAUAUAUUUACUGGAAUAUAUGUACCCAUGUGAUCUAACAUUCUUCUACAAAUGAUGAGGGGGCAAGGCAUUCAAGAUUUAAGGAAGACUAGCCUAUAAACUAACGAUGGAAGAAAAAUAUAAAGUUUGGAUAAAAUCAACUAAGGCAGGGGAUUAUAUCAACAGUAUUGGUUAUCUUGAAAUCAUGUCUUUGGAACGCAUUGUUGAAUUCAUCAUCUUAAAAGCCAGAGGACAUAUUCAAAAAAAGGAGAGAGGGAGUCAUUUGUAUUAUACAAAUAAUAUGAAUUUUGUGAACUAUUUUGAAUACUAAUUUCAUCUAUUUUUAUCAUCUGAAUAUACAGUAAGUAAGAAGAUGCAAAUUUAUAAAUAAUAUGAUAAUAUUAAUGUAAACAUAUAUUUUUUGAUCGUGUGAUAUACUAACAUAUAAAUUUCCAGAAAAUGAAAAUGGGACGAUUAAGUUGUUCAAUCAUGCCUGAUGAUACUUAAACAAGGGAUUUAGAUCCAGAGCCAGAAUACAACCUUUGUAAUAUACUGUGGAUAGUUCAAUGAACUACUAUACCAAUUAUUUUGGUCGAUGUGUUGUCCCUGCAAUAUCCGGGUGUGUUCAAAACAACGUAUUGUUUGAUGCAUGGAAUUCGAG